GAUGAACGCUGGCGGCGUGCCUAAUACAUGCAAGUCGAGCGAACAGACGAGGAGCUUGCUCCUCUGACGUUAGCGGCGGACGGGUGAGUAACACGUGGAUAACCUACCUAUAAGACUGGGAUAACUUCGGGAAACCGGAGCUAAUACCGGAUAAUAUAUUGAACCGCAUGGUUCAAUAGUGAAAGACGGUUUUGCUGUCACUUAUAGAUGGAUCCGCGCCGCAUUAGCUAGUUGGUAAGGUAACGGCUUACCAAGGCAACGAUGCGUAGCCGACCUGAGAGGGUGAUCGGCCACACUGGAACUGAGACACGGUCCAGACUCCUACUGGAGGCAGCAGUAGGGAAUCUUCCGCAAUGGGCGAAAGCCUGACGGAGCAACGCCGCGUGAGUGAUGAAGGUCUUCGGAUCGUAAAACUCUGUUAUUAGGGAAGAACAAAUGUGUAAGUAACUAUGCACGUCUUGACGGUACCUAAUCAGAAAGCCACGGCUAACUACGUG
RNAcentral lists this ribosomal RNA (497 nucleotides) under uncultured bacterium. RNAcentral describes it as "partial 16S ribosomal RNA". It matches the Rfam family "Bacterial small subunit ribosomal RNA", at positions 28 to 507 of the family's 1533-position model. The record is from RNAcentral.